RNAcentral lists this ribosomal RNA (773 nucleotides) under uncultured Neocallimastigales. RNAcentral describes it as "partial large subunit ribosomal RNA". It matches the Rfam family "Eukaryotic large subunit ribosomal RNA", at positions 26 to 605 of the family's 3401-position model. The record is from RNAcentral. Lineage: Eukaryota; Fungi; Neocallimastigomycota; Neocallimastigomycetes; Neocallimastigales.
CGUCUAUAUACGUAUAGCAUAUCAAUAAGCGGAGGAAAAGAAACUAACUAGGAUUCCCUUAGUAACGGCGAGUGAAGCGGGAAGAGCUCAAAUUUGAAAUCUUCAAGGUUUUACCUUGACGAAUUGUAGUUUAAAGAAGUGUUUUCUGUUGAAGUUUUGGUAAAAGUUCUUUGGAAUAGGACAUCAUAGAGGGUGAGAAUCCCGUAUUUGACCAUUAUUUUCAGCUGUGUGAUACACUUUCAAAGAGUCGGAUUGUUUGGGAAUGUAGUCCAAAAUGGGUGGUAAAUUUCAUCUAAAGCUAAAUAUUGGCGAGAGACCGAUAGCGAACAAGUACCGUGAGGGAAAGAUGAAAAGAACUUUGAAAAGAGAGUUAAACAGUACGUGAAAUCGUCAAAAGGGAAGCGUUUGACACCAGUGUUGUUUUUCCGAAAAUCAAUUAAGAAUGGCCGGAUUUUAAGUUUCAUGACCUUAAAAGCUUGUUUCUUAUUUUUCUUGUCUUUCUUAAUGCACUUUUCGGUUAACAAGUCAACAUCAAUCUCUUUUGUUGUAAAAGGGUAUGAGGAAGGUGGCUUUCUUUUCGGAGAAAGUGUUUAUAGCCUUGUACCUCUGCAAUCGGAGAGACUGAGGUCUGCAGCGUAGAUCCUUCGGGGUUAGAUGCAUUUGUGCUAAGUUAUAGCCUUUCAUAGACAACUUGUUGACUAUGAUCAGUCAUGUAGCUUACUCGCUUAUGCUAUUUUACCUACGCUUAGGAUGUUGACACACGCGCGUGCUCG